Molecule: ribosomal RNA, 241 nt
Filed under: uncultured bacterium
Lineage: Bacteria
Description: partial 16S ribosomal RNA
Rfam family: Bacterial small subunit ribosomal RNA
Source: RNAcentral
UACGUAGGGGGGCAAGCGUUGUCCGGAUUUAUUGGGCGUAAAGAGCGUGUAGGCGGCCAGGUAGGUCUGGUGUGAAAACUCGAGGCUUAACCUUGAGAUGUCAUCGGAAACCAUUUGGCUAGAGUCCGGAAGAGGAAAGUGGAAUUCCUGGUGUAGCGGUGAAAUGCGCAGAUAUCAGGAAGAACACCAAUGGCGAAAGCAGCUUUCUGGGACGGUAACUGACGCUGGAGACGCGAAAGCG